GAAGAACACUUUUGGAAGGGGAAACAAUGAUGUACCUACAAAGCCAGAACAGGAUAAAGGCAGUAUGCUCCCGGUCGGUUACAGGAGUCCCUGGAGCCCCUUGCUGGUCGGUUGCGAACUUUGUCCAACCCCAUUCCUUCACACCUUGUAAAGACCAUCCCGGAUGGUCUUCUGAUGGCUCCUGCCCAUCUAGGGCUCCCAUUACAGGGUCUUCACCCACGACUGGGAGAUGUGCGAUCAUGGCCACGUCCAUAAGAGUUGGGCCAAAGGGGGCCGAUGGCAAAAGGAAAGUCCCAUUUUCCGCAUUCCAGAAGGCGGACAUGGCCAACAGCACCUUCUCAUGCAGGUUGAUAGGCAUGGUGGACAGUAGUAUUGCUUGGUCGAUCUUUUGGGAUCGCCAUUGGGUCUGGAAGUGUUCUGCUACUCGUCGAUACCAAGCACGAUACAGAUCUUUUGGGUCUGUGAGAUGGGUCUUGAUGCUGUCUCGGAUGCGAACUGCUUGGUAGUUGGGAUUGUUGAUAGCCAAGGAGUUGCGAGAUUCCAAAACUUCCCUCAUCCGAUUUGAAUCUUCAGGAGUAGUGCAAUAUGGACGGAUCGUCGGAGUUAGUACUUUCGAGGCUGAAAAUGGACCUUCUGGAAGGGUUCCGUCGAAAGGAAGGGCAGGAAUGUAUUGAUUCGCCAUAGUUAGAAUGUUUUGGGAUUGUGAUUCACACAGGCUUGUAUUGCGAAGAAGGAAGUUAACCAGGAGUGUUGCAGUAACUGGUGUAGUUGCUAAGGAGGUAGUGCUUUAUGAACUUCCAAACAUUGAUUGUUAAAUGGCGUUUGAAAGUCCCUUGGCGGCGGGCAAGUUGUUACGCACGAAAUUUAGAAUUAGGUUAAAAGCCCAAGGUAAAAAGAAGAAUGGGCCUGGCAAUAGGGUUGAUUGAACUGGCUGAAGGACACCGUGAGGAAAUCAAGGAAAAUAAAUUUAUUUAUUUAUUUCUAAGGAAAAUACAGGACGGAAAGACCUCAGGACGGAAGGUUCUUAGGUCGGUAGGUCCUCAGGACGGAAAGACCUCAGGACGGAAGGUUCUUAGGUCGGUAGGUCCUCAGGACGGAAAGACCUCAGGUCGGAAGGUCCGCAAGACGGAAAGACCUCAAGUCGGAAGGUCUUCAGGUCGGGAGGUCCGCAAGACGGAAAGACCUCAAGUCGGAAGGUCUUCAGGUCGGGAGGUCCGCAAGACGGAAAGACCUCAAGUCGGAAGGUCUUCAGGUCGGGAGGUCCGCAAGACGGAAAGACGAUGAGUCGGAAGGUUUUCAAGUCGGGAGGUCCUCGAGACGGAAAGUCGUCGAGAUGGGAUAUCCGCAGGUCGGGUAAACUGUAGGUCGGAUAGAAGGAGGAGUCGGACAAACGCGGAGGCCUUUGAUCAAAGACAGGGGGCGGUUGAUAUGGAGGUCGGCCCAAGUGGGGUCGGGCGAAGAAGUAGGUCGGACGAAGGACGAAGUCGGGCCAAAAGAGCGGAAGGUCUGUGGU
Molecule: long non-coding RNA, 1513 nt
Organism: Andrographis paniculata
Lineage: Eukaryota; Viridiplantae; Streptophyta; Magnoliopsida; Lamiales; Acanthaceae
Exons: 4
Source: RefSeq, a predicted model, not a curated record